UUAUGCCUACGGGACGCAGCAGUGGGGAAUAUUGCACAAUGGGGGAAACCCUGAUGCAGCGACGCCGCGUGAAGGAAGAAGUACUUCGGUAUGUAAACUUCUAUCAGCAGGGAGGAAAAUGACGGUACCUGACUAAGAAGCCCCGGCUAACUACGUGCCAGCAGCCGCGGUAAUACGUAGGGGGCAAGCGUUAUCCGGAUUUACUGGGUGUAAAGGGAGCGUAGGCGGCGAUGCAAGUCAGAAGUGGAAGCCCGGGGCUCAACACCGGGACUGCUUUUGAAACUGCGGUGCUAGAUUGCAGGAGG
RNAcentral lists this ribosomal RNA (305 nucleotides) under uncultured bacterium. RNAcentral's name for it is "bacterial SSU rRNA". It matches the Rfam family "Bacterial small subunit ribosomal RNA", at positions 333 to 655 of the family's 1533-position model. The record is from RNAcentral.